AUUGCUGUUUUUGUUGCUGUUAUCAUAUGCUUCACUCUGAUUUACGUCCUUUCAUAUGUCCAUCUUUCAGGUGCAAAAAGAACAAUUAUCCUUGCAACUAGUGUCCUGGUUGGACUCUCACUCAUUUUAAUAUUAUCUGGUAUUGUUCCACCUUUUACUGAAGACAAUGGCAGAGCUGUCAAUGUUGUGCACGUUGUGGAUACAACAGGAAGCUAUGGUAAUAAGCAAGAUCCUACCUCGUAUAUAUCAUUAUUUUCCACAACACCUGGAAAGUUGACAAAGGAGGUUGAACAGAUUAAAGAAGGAUUCUCAUGUGGGAGAGACAAGGUUGUUGAUUUUGUUACUUUUUUUGUCAAAUAUGGUUGUCGGACCCAUGAGGACACUAAAGGUGGAUGGAGUGACACAGAUAUUCCUACAUUGCAUGUUGAAAGUGAUACCAAAGGAGAUGAGAGAAUAACACAAGUUUCAAUUGAUACGAAGGUUUCUAUACGUUGGUCUCUUGCAAUCAAUACUGAAGAAGUAGAAGAUUUUAUUUUGACAGGGAAUUCAGAGGAAUUAAUUCCAUUUGGCAACAAGAGCAGCACAGACGGAUGGCAUAUAAUUCAGUUUUCCGGGGGAAAAGAAGCUCCUAGAAAGUUUGAGCUAACCCUUUUCUGGGUGAAGAAACCUAUGAAGUCUGCUCACAGUGUGGAUGAACAACAGACUGAGGACCAACAGCCCCUGUUAAAGCUAAGAACAGAUGUUGACCGAUUAACACCAAAAGCUGAAAGAGUUCUCAAGAAGCUCCCUGCAUGGUGUUCCCAGUUUGGGAAGUCCUCAUCUCCCUACACCCUAGCAUUUUUCAGCAGUCUUCCUGUUGAUUUUUAGAUAACUGAAAUGUCCUCCAGAAAGUAUAAAGAGUACGAGGGAGCAUUAACUUAACAUGAACUGAUGUAUCUUCCUGUUUCUUGGAUCUUAUAAACAGAAUGUGUGGAGAUAAAGUAGGAAAAAACUCAAAAGGGGAGUAUUGUUUAUUCAGUACAGUGGUGAUUAGGAAGUUAAAGAGUAAGGCCUCUUUAUACUUUCUGGAGGAUAUUUCAA
RNAcentral lists this unclassified non-coding RNA (1080 nucleotides) under Hevea brasiliensis (rubber tree). Lineage: Eukaryota; Viridiplantae; Streptophyta; Magnoliopsida; Malpighiales; Euphorbiaceae. The record is from RNAcentral.